ACCCAAAUUUUUAUCCAGGUUGACCUCGGAUCAGGUAGGGAUACCCGCUGAACUUAAGCAUAUCAAUAAGCGGAGGAAAAGAAACCAACAGGGAUUGCCCCAGUAACGGCGAGUGAAGCGGCAAAGAGCUCAAUUUGAAAGCUGGCUCCUUCGGGGUC
This 158-nucleotide ribosomal RNA is filed under the name Penicillium verrucosum. RNAcentral describes it as "partial 28S ribosomal RNA". The stretch from base 21 to 158 matches the Rfam family "Eukaryotic large subunit ribosomal RNA", at positions 1 to 138 of the family's 3401-position model. The record is from RNAcentral. Lineage: Eukaryota; Fungi; Ascomycota; Eurotiomycetes; Eurotiales; Aspergillaceae.